This is a long non-coding RNA of Raphanus sativus (radish), 525 nucleotides long. RefSeq lists it as uncharacterized. Lineage: Eukaryota; Viridiplantae; Streptophyta; Magnoliopsida; Brassicales; Brassicaceae. The record is from RefSeq and is a predicted model, not a curated record. The transcript is spliced from 2 exons.
AUGGUUACAAAUCUGUGUUACUCAAUAAAAAUAGGUUUUAGAAGAUCCCAUUAAACAUUACGACAAACAAUAACAAUGUAAGAAAAUUAGGCCUGAAUUUUUUUAAUAAAUCAGAGGCCCCAAUCAAAUGUUUCUUGCGGAUGUGUUCAAAGCCGGCACUGGGCUGUUUACUUUACGGUUGUCAGUCCUAUACUAUAUGAUAUCUACAACAACGGACCUGAGGAUCGUUAUUUCUCUCCAUUCUGGAUAGAGCUCUUGAAGAACGUCGCAAGUUUUGGAGCAAUGUAUACUUAUUUUUUGAAUGAAUAACUCGACACCCUCCAAGAGGAAUCUGAAGAACAGUGUUAUUGUUUCUUUAGUGGAUUAGCUGACGAUACAUAAGCGCUCAAAAACAAAGCCCAUGUAGUUUGAAGAAACUUUAUAUUUCAUUAUCACUGUCUGCUACACACAUAAUCAUUUCUUUUUCUUCUUUAGAAACAUUGUUAAUGUAUCAAGUGAAACAAAAUAAAUAUUUUUUUUUAAACA